This 460-nucleotide ribosomal RNA is filed under the name uncultured bacterium. RNAcentral's name for it is "partial 16S ribosomal RNA". It matches the Rfam family "Bacterial small subunit ribosomal RNA", at positions 338 to 795 of the family's 1533-position model. The record is from RNAcentral.
CCUACGGGAGGCAGCAGUGAGGAAUAUUGGUCAAUGGGCGUAAGCCUGAACCAGCCAAGUCGCGUGAGGGAUGAAGGUUCUAUGGAUCGUAAACCUCUUUUAUAAGGGAAUAAAGUGCGGGACGUGUCCCUUUUUGUAUGUACCUUAUGAAUAAGGAUCGGCUAACUCCGUGCCAGCAGCCGCGGUAAUACGGAGGAUCCGAGCGUUAUCCGGAUUUAUUGGGUUUAAAGGGUGCGUAGGCGGCCUUUUAAGUCAGCGGUGAAAGUCUGUGGCUCAACCAUAGAAUUGCCGUUGAAACUGGGAGGCUUGAGUAUGUUUGAGGCAGGUGGAAUGCGUGGUGUAGCGGUGAAAUGCUUAGAUAUCACGCAGAAUCCCGAUGGCGAAGGCAGCCUGCCAAGCCAUGACUGACGCUGAUGCACGAAAGCGUGGGGAUCAAACAGGAUUAGAUACCCGUGUAGUC